RNAcentral lists this ribosomal RNA (253 nucleotides) under uncultured bacterium. RNAcentral's name for it is "partial 16S ribosomal RNA". It matches the Rfam family "Bacterial small subunit ribosomal RNA", at positions 524 to 776 of the family's 1533-position model. The record is from RNAcentral.
UACGUAGGGGGCGAGCGUUGUCCGGAUUUAUUGGGCGUAAAGAGCUCGUAGGCGGCUUGUUGCGUCGACUGUGAAAACCCGCGGCUUAACUGCGGGCUUGCAGUUGAUACGGGCAGGCUAGAGUUCGGUAGGGGAGACUGGAAUUCCUGGUGUAGCGGUGAAAUGCGCAGAUAUCAGGAGGAACACCGGUGGCGAAGGCGGGUCUCUGGGCCGAUACUGACGCUGAGGAGCGAAAGCGUGGGGAGCGAACAGG